This 319-nucleotide ribosomal RNA is filed under the name uncultured eukaryote. RNAcentral's name for it is "partial 18S ribosomal RNA". It matches the Rfam family "Eukaryotic small subunit ribosomal RNA", at positions 1470 to 1796 of the family's 1831-position model. The record is from RNAcentral.
CCCUUAGAUGUUCUGGGCAGCACGCGCGCUACAAUGGUCUUCGCAAACGGAUGCAUUCUCGAAGGAGAAUGCCAAUCUUGGAAUCUAUGCCUUGGUCGGGACAGUUGCUUGCAAUUUUUCGACUCGAACCAGGAAUUCCUUGUAAUCGUGAUUCAUCACAUCACGAUGAAUACGUCCCUGCCCUUUGUACACACCGCCCGUCGCUCCUACCGAUCGAAGAGUUAGGUGAAUUGUUUUGAUCGAUAAGAUUUGACCAUGGUCAACUCUCGUUGUGAAAUUCUGUGAAUCUGACUGUUUAGAGGAAGGAAAAGUCGUAACA